Molecule: unclassified non-coding RNA, 319 nt
Filed under: Hevea brasiliensis (rubber tree)
Lineage: Eukaryota; Viridiplantae; Streptophyta; Magnoliopsida; Malpighiales; Euphorbiaceae
Source: RNAcentral
UGAUGAAAAUACUACAUGCAAGCCUGAAAGAAUUGUGAAUGGCAUAUACUGUAAAGCUUCACAACGUGAAUUUGAAUAAAAUACCAUGGGCCUCGAAGAACCAUUUCUUCUCCUGUAAUCUUCCAGCAGCCUUACAAUGCAUACUUGCGAGGAUUUCUUGAAGCUUCAUCUGACGGCAAUUCUCAACAAAAAAGAAGCCAUCAAUGGCAAUGGGAGGUUCAUUUAAUAGCUCCCGUCUCUUUGCGACGUAAAGAAAUAUAAACCACCUAGCUGAGCAGAUUUAAAACAUAGUCUUUCCCAUUCAUAGUUAUUUUUUUUC